GGGGACAUGGUCUAGUGGUAUGACGGAUCCUUAGCAUAGUUGAAGCUUGAAGCAUCACGGCCUGGAUCAGGUCCGGGGUUCGAUUCCCCGUGUCUCCA
This 98-nucleotide transfer RNA is filed under the name Thielaviopsis punctulata. Its description in RNAcentral is "Ceratocystis radicicola tRNA". It matches the Rfam family "tRNA". Rfam says of the family: Transfer RNA (tRNA) molecules are approximately 80 nucleotides in length. Lineage: Eukaryota; Fungi; Ascomycota; Sordariomycetes; Microascales; Ceratocystidaceae. The record is from Rfam by way of RNAcentral.